CAGUAGCCGCGGGAAUACGAAGGGGGCUAGCGUUGUUCGGAAUUACUGGGCGUAAAGGGUGCGUAGGCGGCUUGACAAGUCUUGUGUGAAAUCUAUGGGCUCAACCCAUAGUCUGCACGGGAAACUGUCGGGCUUGAGAAUGGGAGAGGUGAGUGGAAUUUCCGGUGUAGCGGUGAAAUGCGUAGAUAUCGGAAGGAACACCUGUGGCGAAAGCGGCUCACUGGACCAUUUCUGACGCUGAUGCACGAAAGCUAGGGGAGCAAACAGGAUUAGAUACCCGCGUAGUCCCUGUCUCUUAUAC
This 301-nucleotide ribosomal RNA is filed under the name uncultured bacterium. Its description in RNAcentral is "partial 16S ribosomal RNA". It matches the Rfam family "Bacterial small subunit ribosomal RNA", at positions 509 to 807 of the family's 1533-position model. The record is from RNAcentral.